RNAcentral lists this ribosomal RNA (597 nucleotides) under uncultured soil bacterium. RNAcentral's name for it is "bacterial SSU rRNA". It matches the Rfam family "Bacterial small subunit ribosomal RNA", at positions 35 to 641 of the family's 1533-position model. The record is from RNAcentral.
GCUGGCGGCGCGCAUAACACAUGCAAGUCGAGCGAGGGCUUAUUUCUCGCAAGAGAGAUAAGUUCCUAGCGGCGAACGGGUGAGUAACACGUGGGCAACCUUUCCUAUCGCGGGGGAUAACACCGGGAAACCGAUGCUAAUACCGCAUGUCGUCACCGGUCGCAUGGCCGGUGAAGAAAGCAGCAAUGCACGAUGGGGUGGGCCCGCGGCCUAUCAGCUAGUCGGUGGGGUAACGGCCUACCGAGGCGAUGACGGGUAGCUGGUCUGAGAGGACGGCCAGCCACACGGGGACUGAGACACGGCCCCGACUCCUACGGGAGGCAGCAGUGAGGAAUCUUCCGCAAUGGGCGAAAGCCUGACGGAGCGACGCCGCGUGUGGGAUGAAGUCUUUCGGGAUGUAAACCACUGUCGGAGGGGAAGACAUCGACGGUACCCUCCAAGAAAGCCCCGGCUAACUACGUGCCAGCAGCCGCGGUAAUACGUAGGGGGCAAGCGUUAUCCAGAUUUACUGGGCGUAAAGCGCGUGUAGGCGGCUGGUUAGGUGUGAUGUGAAAUCUUCCGGCUCAACCGGAAAACUGCAUUGCAAACCGGCCUGGC